RNAcentral lists this long non-coding RNA (236 nucleotides) under Hordeum vulgare. Its description in RNAcentral is "long non-coding RNA (HVUL_LNC012509)". Lineage: Eukaryota; Viridiplantae; Streptophyta; Magnoliopsida; Poales; Poaceae. The record is from RNAcentral.
UCUAUGUAUAUCUGUUUUUUUCAGUACAUGUACUUGUAACGAUAUCCAUUCUUGCGACACGACGAGAUGCGCUUCUAUCCCUGACGAGGCCUUCAUGCCAAAUUGAGGAUAGGGUCGCAUCUUGGGUGUGACAAGUUGGUAUCAGAGCAGUACCGACCUAGGAGCCCCCUUGAUUGAUCGAACUUGGCCUAGUCGAGUCUAGUGAAAAUCUAUUUGAGUCUAGUUAUAUAUCGGAG